AUCCAGCUGACGAGUCUCGAAUAAGACGAAACGCGCGUCCUGGAU
RNAcentral lists this non-coding RNA (45 nucleotides) under Schistosoma mansoni. Lineage: Eukaryota; Metazoa; Platyhelminthes; Trematoda; Strigeidida; Schistosomatidae. The record is from RNAcentral.